This 245-nucleotide ribosomal RNA is filed under the name uncultured bacterium. RNAcentral describes it as "partial small subunit ribosomal RNA". It matches the Rfam family "Bacterial small subunit ribosomal RNA", at positions 26 to 285 of the family's 1533-position model. The record is from RNAcentral.
AGAAUCAACGCUGGCGGCGUGCCUAACACAUGCAAGUCGCACGAGAAAGUGGAGCAAUCCAUGAGUACAGUGGCGCACGGGUGAGUAACACGUGAAUCAUCUACCUUCGAGUGGGGAAUAACUGAGAGAAAUCUUGGCUAAUACCGCAUAAUACCUACGGGUCAAAGCAGUAAUGCGCUUGAAGAGGAGUUCGCGGCAGAUUAGUUAGUUGGCGGGGUAAUGGCCCACCAAGACGAUGAUCUGUA